RNAcentral lists this ribosomal RNA (429 nucleotides) under uncultured archaeon. Its description in RNAcentral is "bacterial SSU rRNA". It matches the Rfam family "Archaeal small subunit ribosomal RNA", at positions 474 to 903 of the family's 1478-position model. The record is from RNAcentral.
AACCAGCUCUUCAAGUGGUCGGGAUAAUUAUUGGGCUUAAAGUGUCCGUAGCCGGUUUAGUAAGUUCCUGGUAAAAUCGGGUAGCUUAACUAUCCGUAUGCUAGGAAUACUGCUAUACUAGAGGGCGGGAGAGGUCUGAGGUACUACAGGGGUAGGGGUGAAAUCUUAUAAUCCUUGUAGGACCACCAGUGGCGAAGGCGUCAGACUGGAACGCGCCUGACGGUGAGGGAUGAAAGCCAGGGGAGCGAACCGGAUUAGAUACCCGGGUAGUCCUGGCUGUAAACGAUGCAUACUAGGUGAUGGCAUGGCCAUGAGCCGUGUCAGUGCCGUAGGAAAACCGUUAAGUGUGCCGCCUGGGAAGUACGGUCGCAAGGCUAAAACUUAAAGGAAUUGGCGGGGGAGCACCACAAGGGGUGAAGCCUGCGGUUC